RNAcentral lists this small nuclear RNA (327 nucleotides) under Aotus nancymaae (Ma's night monkey). RNAcentral describes it as "7SK RNA (ENSANAG00000008434.1)". It matches the Rfam family "7SK RNA". From Rfam's summary of the family: 7SK was discovered as an abundant small nuclear RNA in the mid-70s but a possible function has only recently been suggested. Two independent studies have found that 7SK RNA binds the CDK9/cyclin T complex (known as elongation factor P-TEFb). The record is from Rfam by way of RNAcentral. Lineage: Eukaryota; Metazoa; Chordata; Mammalia; Primates; Aotidae.
GGAUAUGAGAGCGAUCUGGCUGCGACAUCUGUCGCUCCAUUGAUUUCCAGGGUUGAUUUGGCUGAUCUGGCCGGGCUAGGCAGGUGUCCCCUUCCUUCCUUACCCCUCCAUGUGCGUCCCUCCCAAAGUUGCACCCUGGGUCAAAGAGGACUAGCAUCCCUGAUAGAGGGAGACUGGUCUUCGGUCAGGAGUGUACGAGUAGCUGUGCUCCUCUUCUAGAACUGCCAAAAAAACUCUCAAGGUCCAUUUAGUAAAAAUGCAUGCAGUAUAUUGGAAAUGGAAGGAAACUAUUACUUUAAUUAGAUAGAAUAUCUACAAAUAAAAGAA